Long non-coding RNA from Oncorhynchus gorbuscha (pink salmon), 479 nucleotides. RefSeq lists it as uncharacterized. NCBI's taxonomy places the organism in Eukaryota, Metazoa, Chordata, Actinopteri, Salmoniformes, Salmonidae. The record is from RefSeq and is a predicted model, not a curated record. The transcript has 2 exons.
UGUAGAAGAUGUCCCCCCCCCCCAAGAUGUCACAGCACGUCACAUCAGUGUCCAGCUCUGCAGGAUGAUGGACUGCAUAGGCUAUUAUGCUAAAGAAGCAGAUGUUCUUCUAAGGGACACCCUAGAGACAGCAAGGUGAUGCGAACGCCCAACAUUUAAAGGAAUCGUUUCCCUCCCUAGUGUAAAUUAUAUGGAUGGGGAAGACCGCAUUACAACCCUUAAAAAACUAUGGUUGUAUGAUGGCCUGGAUGAAGAGGAAAAUAUUCUCCUCAAGUAAUCAUUCAUGUUUUCAUUUCAGUUAGAGAGAUUAUGAGAUGUUCUAUGUGGAGGCAGUUGACAACAAGAAAAUGACUGUCUGCCUCUUUUGAGGAGCAGGGAGUGAAGCCAUUUUUGAGGAGUGGUCAAACCUUGUUUUUGUCUGCUGUGUUAAUUGUUUCAAUUGUUAAUUGUGUUGUUUAGUAAAGAUGACGUAGAAGUCA